GCCUCCUCCCAGUCGCCAUGGUCAGGCUCACCGCUGACCUGAUAUGGAAGAGCCCGCACUUCUUCAACGCCGUCAAGGAGCGCGAGCUCGACCUCCGAGGCAACAAGAUCGCCGUCAUCGAGAAUGUCGGAGCCACCGAGGACCAGUUUGACACAAUUGACUUGUCGGAUAAUGAGAUUGUCAAGCUUGAAAACUUCCCAUACUUGAAUCGUCUUGGCACUCUACUAGUUAAUAAUAACAGAAUCACACGUAUCAAUCCCAAUCUUGGCGAGUUUUUGCCAAAGCUGCAUACGCUGGUGCUCACGAAUAAUCGUCUGACAAAUCUUGCAGAGAUUGAUCCCCUGGCAUCUCUUCCAAAGCUACAAUUCCUUAGCUUACUGGAUAAUACUGUAACUAAGCAGCCAGAUUACAGGCUGUAUGUGAUCCAUAAAUUGAAGCAUUUGCGUUUGCUGGAUUUCAAGAAAGUGAAACAACAGGUUUGUUCAUUUCCUUUGGAAUGGCUCCAAAAUAUGUUUUGGGAUGGACCCCAGAAGUGCUGGGCUGCUGGCAGCAAAAGAGACAAACAAGCAACUCUUUUGACUUUGGAUUUUCACGAAUUAGAUGCAUUAACACCAUGGAAUGCUUUGUCUGGCAUGUUUUCCAUUAUCCAGUCUGCAAAUGUUGCUUUUAUUUCUGAUUUUCUUGGGAGAUUUUUUUUUUGCUUUGUAGGAGAGAGUUGCGGCAGCGAAAAAGUUCCACUCAAAGGAAGCAGAGGAAGAGGCAAAGAAGGUGCCUGCCAAAACGUUUACUCCUGGUCUGCCUGAUGCUCAGGACAUCACAAUGGAGCCACAAGGUCCUAAAGUAGUUGCUCCAACUCCUGAACAAAUCACAGCUAUCAAGGCUGCUAUUGCAAAUGCCCACACUCUCGAGGAAGCUGCAAGGCUAGAACAGGUACUAAGCACUGGCCAAGUUCCUGCUGAAUUUGCAGUGCCCAGGCCCGAUGCAAACAUGGCCGAAGCUUCAGAUGGAGCCGAGAAGAUGGACACAGAUGGUGAGAACCAAGAGGGCGGUGAGGCUGAUGGGCAGAAACAAGGCGAAGGAAGCACCCCAAUUCAGGAGGAUUGAAGUCAUGGUGACAUGGGCUGGGUCAUCCAUUGUCUGAGUUAGGUUUGCCAGUUUUCGUGGGGGUGCAGGAAAGAGCUAGAGCCUUGUUGCCGCAGAACUCCCCCUCUAUGGAUCGCAUGUGGAUGCUAACAAGAUUCUUGCUUAUUUUUGCAGUAGAUGGUACUGAGAACAGAAUCAGAUGUUGUAAACUAUACAUACAGUCGUGCAUGUUGCCGAAUGGACCAUUGUUUCGGUCGUAGCGCUUGUGUCGGUGCCUGACUGCAGUCUGCAGAGCGAGAUGUCGCCCUGCCGCCUAUCCUUUUCUCGGAGUGCUUUAUUACAAGUUUGAGUGAUGGAUCCUGUUGAGUUGAGGCGGAUGAUCGUCAUCUAUUGCUGGAUGUUUCGUUUU
RNA transcript from Zea mays, 1492 nucleotides. RefSeq lists it as uncharacterized. The transcript has 8 exons. Lineage: Eukaryota; Viridiplantae; Streptophyta; Magnoliopsida; Poales; Poaceae. The record is from RefSeq and is marked validated.